Molecule: non-coding RNA, 172 nt
Filed under: uncultured Faecousia sp.
Lineage: Bacteria; Bacillati; Bacillota; Clostridia; Eubacteriales; Oscillospiraceae
Description: malK-I RNA
Rfam family: malK-I RNA
Source: RNAcentral
CGCGUCUGCUCCACAAAAUCGGACGAAAGCCGCCAAGAAAGGAGUAAAAACGAUCCCGCAGGACCUGCGGUGCAGCAGUGUGGAGACCUGCUGUAAGGCGUGCCGCUCCGACGCGGGCGGACGCGAGAGACGGGCAAGCGGAGGCUCCCGUGUCAAGGUCGGUUGCAUGGCA